RNAcentral lists this long non-coding RNA (483 nucleotides) under Phaseolus vulgaris (common bean). RNAcentral describes it as "long non-coding RNA (PVUL_LNC002598)". The record is from RNAcentral. Lineage: Eukaryota; Viridiplantae; Streptophyta; Magnoliopsida; Fabales; Fabaceae.
CAGCAAAGACUACAAGUCUACCCGAUCAGAAUCUCUUAUAGAGUAAGUUCAGUUUUGUUCCUCUUUUUCCUUUCCUCUCAUUUUCUUCAAGAUUCUGACUACCUCGCUUAUCAGUUUGGCGAUCGAAGUCUGCCGUUAGACUCUUGGUAAUGAACCUUAUAAGUUUGCCGGAUCAAAAUAUCAGAUAGAGUAAGUUCCUUCUUGGCUCCUUUUUCUUUUGAGUUAAUUUUGAUCUUAUUAGAUUUUGUACGGGUUAAUAUUAGAUUUUGUACGGGUUAAUCUCUGUAUAGUUAGAUUUUGAUUAGGACUCUGUGGUACAGGUUAAUUACCUUUAGCUUUUGGGUAGAUUUGGAGCUCUUAGUGAGCAUAAGCUAAAGUUCAGGUAAGGAAGCUAGUCUUAUUAUUUUCAAUAAAACCCUAGGUUAGAAGAUUCUGGAUGUGGAGGUGACGUGGUCACCAAUUCCAAUUAUUUUUGCUUGCAGG